CAACCAACAGAGACUAUAUAGAGCAGGGGAAUAUAUGCUGGUGGGAGCAGAUCAUGCCUGUGUAGGAGAAAGGAGGUUAGAUACCUUACAUCUAUCCCCCUUUCUAGCUCUAUUCCCAGCCAAAAGAUACUAGGUAACCGUAUCAGCCAUCCCCCGGGCCACAUGGUACUGUUGGCAAAUGCCAGCACAAAAUAGUCUGAAGAGGUUGCCAAAAGAUAAAUGACUGGCAAUAUACUUAUUAUUAAUCACAAAUGAAGUUUGGGAAGCCAGGAAAGACUUCUAUAAAAAAAGUAUUUCACUUACACUAGAAAUACACUAUAAGCAUUACUGGAUCCUGCCUCCUCCUUGCCUGAUUUGAAGCAUCAUGAAUAUAGCCAGUGGUUCCCUUGCCUGUAACUGGUAUGGCGCAUGGAGAACUGAGGUUACUGUUAUAUGAUGAACUGAAUUCUGCAGAAACAAGGUUCUGGGUUGAAUAUUAUUUUUAUGGGGUCCCCAAAAUUUACAGACGAAGCCAGCUUUUUAGUUCCUCAGAACUCUUUCCUCCAGCAAAGGUGGUAUAAAUUUUGGAGGUAAAGGAGGAAGCAGACAAUCCAGAAAACUGAGCCAUGUGUGCUACUUAUUGUUCCUGAACGUAGACGGCAGGCAAAACAAAUCUCUGUUCUGUGUGGAAAGGCUGCCUAGGUAGCACUAACACAAGCACUAAAUGAAAGGUCAUCUCAAAAAGGACUCAAAAACUGGGAACGAUUUUAUAGCUGGACUCGAAAUGCAGAUUGGAAGAAGAAUGUGAAGAUCCAACUAGGGAAUGGAGAGAUUAAUAACUAUAACAAUUCUGCCACAGAAAAUCUGUUUAAGGAAGUCAAAAUGGAGCACCCUCACAAUCACUUCUGAUUAGCACGAGAUGUUGCCUGUGGUCUGAAAGCCCCACUAGACCCAGCCUUCAAAAGAUGUAGCUCAAGACUUCCCAGUGGCUCUGAGAUACAAAUAAAGAUAUGCACAGUGAAA
Molecule: non-coding RNA, 1002 nt
Organism: Pogona vitticeps (central bearded dragon)
Lineage: Eukaryota; Metazoa; Chordata; Lepidosauria; Squamata; Agamidae
Source: RefSeq, a predicted model, not a curated record